This is a non-coding RNA of Acanthosepion pharaonis, 110 nucleotides long. NCBI's taxonomy places the organism in Eukaryota, Metazoa, Mollusca, Cephalopoda, Sepiida, Sepiidae. The record is from the annotation of a GenBank genome assembly.
UACGACCAGAUCACGCUGAAACACAGAUUCCUGUACGAUCACCGAAGUUAAGCAACGUCAAGCCUGGUCAGUACCUGAAUGCCUGACCACUUGGAAAUAUCAGGUUCUGU